ACACAAUACUAGUAUACUAAUACUACACAAAUAUGUACCCAACACACAUGCGUAAAAUAUCAGAGUAUCAGAUCAUUUAGACAUACGUGUUACAUAGGUACAUAAGGACCAUAUCGUUCAUGCGUAUACCUAGGUAUAUCGAGGUACAUACCAGUCAUACUCAUACAUAAUUUACAGCCGAGGGUGCACGCGUAUAUCCGGGUGCGUUUAUAAUGUGCACAACACGGUCACGAGGUCAACCCGACAACAGUCGCUGCAGCAGCAGCAGCAGCAGCAGCAGCAGCAGCAGCAGCAACAUCGUCGUGGUCAGUUUUCCCGUUCCGGUGUAAUAGGCUAAAUAUGACUUUCAAGAAAAAUUGCAAAUGGUUGUAUCAGAUACGAAAUUUAGAGGCGCUGCCGAAGAACGUGCAAGCGUCUGGCCAGGGUCAUCGAUGCCAUGGAAAAAAAAGAUUAUGAAAUUACGAUUUAGGUACUGGGUGAUAUUUUGUAUACAAGUAUAUUGUUCUGUGAUAUAACUAUAAUACAGUAAAUACUAAAUGCUAUAAUCGUUUCUUGAAAAGUAUCAAUUUUUUUAAAAUAUAUAUGAACAAUUUUAAACAU
Myzus persicae (green peach aphid) is the source of this 600-nucleotide long non-coding RNA. RefSeq lists it as uncharacterized. NCBI's taxonomy places the organism in Eukaryota, Metazoa, Arthropoda, Insecta, Hemiptera, Aphididae. The transcript is spliced from 2 exons. The record is from RefSeq and is a predicted model, not a curated record.